This 1003-nucleotide long non-coding RNA is filed under the name Phasianus colchicus (ring-necked pheasant). Its description in RNAcentral is "lncRNA (ENSPCLG00000015171.1)". The record is from RNAcentral. Lineage: Eukaryota; Metazoa; Chordata; Aves; Galliformes; Phasianidae.
UGCAAUCUCAUUUUCGGAUGGAUCCAUGUCUUCUUGACAAAGCCAGAGGUAAUAGUUGUUCCUCAAGGGAUCUGGAGAAAUUCUGACCCUUUUUAGUGUCAUUUGAAAAGAUGCUUUAUUUUGGAGGGGAUGUGCCUGCUGUGCACAGCAGGAGGUGGUGCCAGGCGACAAGUCACGGGAUAGUUUCUGACAAGAUCUGUUUUUUUCCCAUGUGUUAAAACUUAAACCCUCAUUAAAGUUUGCAACUGCCGUCAUUGUUCUCAGUUUUUAAUUGUAAUUGAAUGCCAUGCUGAUGGAAUAAUUUGUUAUUAGAAUGGCUUUAUUUUUCUUUCUUUCUGACGGCCAGAUACACUUCUUUGUUGUUCCUGUUAAUGUUUGGCAACUUUUUCCAAAAUCGUUCUACAGACAAAAUCAUCGAUCUUACAAGUUGAUUGCUUCUUUGAAGAUGCUGAGUGAUCAUCUUAAAUUGCUGCUGUUUGUCCUGCACUGCUGGAGCAAUUAAACAUCUGAGCCACAAUGAGUGCAGCCACGUGUUGGACCAGUAACUUGUGAUGGCCCCUAUACUCACAGAGGAAGCAUCAUUUCUGUCUCCAUCCAACACUCUGCCUAAUGCAAAGCCAGAGCCAGAUGCAGCCUUAACACAGAGAGGGUACACAUAGAUCACAGCAGAUAAUUCUAUGUGCUUUACCUACUGUGUUGCAGCAGUUUACUUUCCCUUACCUCCCCACAUCUGCAUUUGGGAAUCAGAAGAAAGAACAUGUACUAAAACCAAACUGAGAACACCAGAAAUUAUUAGAAAGAAAAAAAGAUCUGCCUAGAUACCAACAAUUUGGUUGCAGCUAGCUUCUGUCAGAAUAACUGAUUUGGAUUAACACAGGGCAGAAGAGCUCUACAUUGCUCCCAAUUAGAUUUCUCAUGAUUGCAUAAAUGGGCACAGUAAAAUCAUGAUCACUGCAGAUUUUAAUGGUAAUAAAGUUAAUAGGUAAAAAUUGGCUAAAUGUCA